ACCCGAGCGUAUCCGGGUCAAUGAUACGCACCUCCCUGUUGGACUGCGCCGGGCCAUUGUGCCCGGCUUUUUUU
Molecule: non-coding RNA, 74 nt
Filed under: marine eukaryotic metagenome
Description: Singlet oxygen resistance RNA X
Rfam family: Singlet oxygen resistance RNA X
About the family: SorX (RSs2461)like SorY is a singlet oxygen induced sRNA that counteracts oxidative stress by targeting mRNA for a transporter in Rhodobacter. It also has an impact on resistance against organic hydroperoxides.
Source: RNAcentral